CCUACGGGUGGCAGCAGUGAGGAAUAUUGGUCAAUGGGCUUACGCCUGAACCAGCCAAGUCGCGUGAGGGAAGACUGCCCUAUGGGUUGUAAACCUCUUUUGUCAGGGAGCAACGCCGGCUACGUGUAGCCGGACUGAGAGUACCUGAAGAAAAAGCAUCGGCUAACUCCGUGCCAGCAGCCGCGGUAAUACGGAGGAUGCGAGCGUUAUCCGGAGUUAUUGGGUUUAAAGGGUGCGUAGGCGGAAUGCCAAGUCAGCGGUAACAUCGCGGGGCUCAACCUCGCUCCGCCGUUGAAACUGGCGUUUUUGAGUGGGCGAGAAGUAUGCGGAAUGCGUGGUGGAGCGGUGAAAUGCAUAGAUAUCACGCAGAACUCCGAUUGCGAAGGCAGCAUACCGGCGCCCAACUGACGCUGAAGCACGAAAGUGUGGGUAUCGAACAGGAUUAGAUACCCUUGUAGUC
This 460-nucleotide ribosomal RNA is filed under the name uncultured bacterium. RNAcentral's name for it is "partial 16S ribosomal RNA". It matches the Rfam family "Bacterial small subunit ribosomal RNA", at positions 338 to 795 of the family's 1533-position model. The record is from RNAcentral.